UGCCGCCCUGAAGGGCGUAUGGUGGAUGCCUUGGCAGACAGUACCGAUGAAGGACGUUUGAGGAUGCGAUAAGCCUCGGGGAGCCUCCAACAUGGCUUCGAUCCGAGGAUUUCCGAAUGGGGCAACCCGCCGGCCGUCAUGGGCCGGCACGGAACGUUUGUUCCGGGGGUACGCAGGGAAGUGAAACAUCUCAGUACCUGCAGGAAGGGAUACUCCGUGAGUAGUGGCGAGCGAAAGCGGAUCAGACCAAACCAUGGGCGCGUGAUACCCGUCGGGGGUUGCGUCCGUGGUGUUGAGGGAGCGUGUGUCCCGGUUCCGACGGACCGGGCGGGAGUCAUAAAACGGCUUGCCAGGGGAACAGGCUUGAAGGCCUGGCCGCAGAGGGUGCCAGCCCCGUACCUGGAAGCUUGCCGUCUUCCGAUCAUGCGUCCCAAGUAGCGCGGGCCUCGUGGAAUCCCGUGUGAAUCGGCCCCGACCGUGGGGUAAGUCUAAGCAUACCUGUCUGACCGAUAGCGUACCAGUACCGUGAGGGAAAGGUGAAAAGCACCCCGGGAGGGGAGUGAAAGAGUUCCUGAAACCGUGCGCCUACAAUCCGUCGGAGCCUCCGUUGAGUGGGGUGACGGCGUGCCUAUCGAAAAAUGAGUCUGCGAGUCAGUGGUGCGUGGCGAGGCUAACCCGUGGUGGGGGAGCCGUAGCGAAGGCGAGUCUCAAAAGGCGUUUUGAGUCGCGUGCCCUGGACCCGAAGCGGGAUGAUCUAGCCCUGGGCAGGUUGAAGCGCGGGUAAGACCGCGUGGAGGACCGAACCCACCUGGGUUGAAAACCGGGGGGAUGACCUGGGGCUAGGGGUGAAAGGCCAAUCAAAUUCCGUGAUAGCUGGUUCUCUCCGAAAUGCAUUUAGGUGCAGCGUCGGUUGAUUGCAUCGCGGGGGUAGAGCUACUGGAUGCUUGCGGGCCCGUGUCGGGUACCAAUAGCAGCCAAACUCCGAAUACCGUGGAUGUGUAUUCCGGCAGUGAGUCGGCGGGGGAUAAGCUCCGUCGUCGAGAGGGAGACAGCCCAGAUCGUCGUCUAAGGUCCCGAAGCGUGUGCUAAGUGGGAAAGGAUGUGGAGUCGCAUAGACAGCCAGGAGGUUGGCUCAGAAGCAGCCAUCCUUGAAAGAGUGCGUAACAGCUCACUGGUCUAGUGGUUCCGCGCCGACAAUGUAGCGGGGCUCAAGCACACCACCGAAGACGCGGCAGCAGUCCUUUGGCUGCUGGGUAGGAGAGCGUCCCGCGUGGGGCGAAGCGGCCGUGGAAACGUGCCGUGGACCGCGCGGGAGUGAGAAUGCAGACAUGAGUAGCGAGAGACGGGUGAGGAUCCCGUCCGCUGGAUGACCAAGGGUUCCGGGGCCACGUUCGUCGUCCCCGGGUGAGUCGGGUCCUAAGGCGAGGCCGACAGGCGUAGUCGAAUGGAUGAACGGGUGGAUAUUCCCGUACCGGCGGCGUACCGUAAGAGCCGAACGGAUGAGUACUAACCUCCGGUCGCGUGGCGUCGUUCCCUUCGGGGUUCGGGGUCGCGUGGCUGUUGGGAGCGUAGUCCUGGUAGGCUAGCGCACAGGGGUGACACGGAAUGGGAGCCGGCCGCGGAGGUGGUUUUCCGUGGUCAAGCACGCAGCCCGUCCCAUAGGCAAAUCCGUGGGGCAUGUAGGGUGAGGUGUGAUGAUGGGCGUCUUUUGUGGCGCGAUAUCCGGUGGUCCAGGCCGUCGAGAAAAGCCUCGGCGCGAGGGGCGUUGCCGCCCGUACCCCAAACCGACACUGGUGGUCAGGUAGAGAAUACCAAGGCGAUCGAGCGAAUCCUGGUCAAGGAACUCGGCAAAUCACUCCCGUGCCUUCGGUAUAAGGGAGACCCCCGGGCGUGAAGAGGCUUGCCCUCGGAGCGUUGGGGGGUGGCACAGACCAGGGGGUAGCGACUGUUUACCAAAAACACAGGUGCAUGCGAAGGCGCAAGCCGCUGUAUAUGCACUGACGCCUGCCCGGUGCCGGAAGGUUAAGAGGAUCCGUCAGCCCUCGGGUGAAGCGGUGAAUUCAAGCCCCGGUAAACGGCGGUGGUAACUAUAACCAUCCUAAGGUAGCGAAAUUCCUUGUCGGGUAAGUUCCGACCUGCACGAAUGGCGUAACGACUUCCCCACUGUCUCGACCAGGAGCUCGGCGAAAUUGCAGUACGAGUAAAGAUGCUCGUUACGGGCAGGGACGAAAGUCGGAGAUAGUGAUCCGGUGCCGGCGCACGGGCGCGGCAUCGCUCAACGGAUAAAAGGUACCCCGGGGAUAACAGGCUGAUCAUUCCCAAGAGUCCAUAUCGACGGGAUGGUUUGGCACCUCGAUGUCGGCUCGUCGCAUCCUGGGGCUGGAGCAGGUCCCAAGGGUUCGGCUGUUCGCCGAUUAAAGCGGCACGCGAGCUGGGUUCAGAACGUCGUGAGACAGUUUGGUCUCUAUCCUCUGCGCUCGUUGGAAUCCUGAGGAGGCCUGCCCAUAGUACGAGAGGACCUGGGUGGACGGACCUCUGGUAUGCCGGUUGUCGCGCCAGCGGCAUGGCCGGUUGGCUACGUUCGGGAGGGAUAACCGCUGAAAGCAUCUAAGCGGGAAGCCUGCUCCAAGAUUAGGAUUCCUUGACGCUUUUCGGAGCGUCCGAAGCCCGCAUGUUGAACACGUGUUUGAUAGGCCGGAGGUGGAAGCCCUGUGAGGGGUGGAGCCGACCGGUACUAACGGGCGAACGCGGCACAC
Molecule: ribosomal RNA, 2756 nt
Filed under: human gut metagenome
Description: bacterial LSU rRNA
Rfam family: Bacterial large subunit ribosomal RNA
Source: RNAcentral